Molecule: long non-coding RNA, 2050 nt
Filed under: Marmota monax (woodchuck)
Lineage: Eukaryota; Metazoa; Chordata; Mammalia; Rodentia; Sciuridae
Source: RNAcentral
AAGAACAGAGCAGGCUGAGGUUUCCUAUAGUGGCUGCUUUACCACCCACAUCUGGAGCUCCGCCCUCUCCAGGGCCUUGCCCACACUUGGAAUUGAGAGACUUCCCUUGUAGUUACUCAUUGUCUAUCCACUGGCACAAAGUAGAAAACCGGCAUUUCUCUAAUGUCUAAUGAAUCAUGAUGAGCAUCUUUUCAAGAGCUGAUUUGCUAUUCAUUACCCUCUUGGGUGAAAUGUUUGCAAAACUUUAGGCUGAGAGAGGAGGAUUGCAAGUUCCAGGCCUCAGCAUCUUAGUGAGGCCUAUCUCAAAAUAAAAAAUAAAAAGUGCUGGGGAUGUGUCUCAGUUGUAAAGUGCCCCUGAGUUAAAUCUCCAGUACAAAAAAAAAAAAAAAGAGAGAUUCAAUUUUUGUUAAGAUACUUUGGCUUUCUAGGUCUUUUGAAUUUUCUUUCUUAAAAAAAAAAAAAAAAAACUCUUUUUAAAAAAUAUUUAUUUUUUAGGUGUAUAUGGACAUAACACAAUGCCUUUAUUUUUAUGUGGUGCUGAGGAUCUAACCUGCUAGGCUAGGCAAGCACCAAUUAGGAUUAUUUUGAACCUACAGAUAAAUCUGAAAGCAGUUUACAUUUUAACAAUAUUAAUUUUUCCAAUUCUUAAAAAUGUCUUAUUGCUCCAUUAUUUAGGUCAUUGUUUAGGUUAUUUGAUUUUUGUCAGUAAUGUUUGGUAAGGUUUUGGGGAUAUAAUUGCUGCAUAUCUUUACCAGCAUCAUCCCUAAGAGUUUUAUUAGCAUUGUAAGGGGUGUUUUUAUUUAUUAUAGUGCUGGGGUGGAACCCAGGGCCUCACACCUGGUAUGUGAGCACUCUACCAUUAAGCUACACCCCAGCCUGUAAUUGCUAUUUUAAAAUUUUAAUUUCUAAUUGUUCAUAACUAGUAUAUAGAACAAUAUAUAUAUAUAUAUAUAUAUAUAUAUAUAUAUAUAUAUAUAUAUUUUUUAAAGAGAGUGAGAGAGAGAAUUUUUAAUAUUUAUUUUUUAGUUUUUGGUGGACACAACAUCUUUGUAUGUGGUGCUGAGGAUUGAACCCUGGCCGCAUGCAUGCCAGGUGAGCAGGCUACCACUGAGCCACACAUCUCCAGCCCAAAAAUUUUAUAUAUUUUUUACUUUGACCUAGCAACCUACAACAUUGUUAAACUCACUUUUCUAUCAAGUUUGUUUGUUUGUUUGUUUGUUUUUAAUUCUGUCCAGUUUUCUGCAUCAAGAAUCACAUCUGUGAAUAAAAAAAAAAACAGUUUUGGUUCAUUUCCAAGCUGUAGACCAUGGAUCAAGACGAUGUUGUAUAAAAAGUACUUAAAUUAGGUAUCCUUGACUUUUUCCUGAUUUUAGGGAGAAAGUACUUAGGUUGAUUUGUACCAGUAUACACAUGUCAGCUAUAGAUUUUUUUAGACAUACUUUUUAUUUUAUUUUUUAUUUUUUUUAAAGAGAGAGUGAGAGAGACAGAGAGAGAGAAUUUUUUUUUAAUAUUUAUUUUUUAGUUUUCGGCGGACACAACAUCUUUGUUUGUAUGUGGUGCUGAGGAUCGAACCCGGGUCGCACGCAUGCCAGGUGAGCGCGCUACCGCUUAAGCCAUAUCCCCAGCCCUACUUUUUAUUUUUUGGAAGUUUUUUUUCUGUUACAUUUUUAUUUGUGAUGAUUUCAUUUUGAGAAGUGAGAGAAAAGAAAAAUGUCAGCUUAUGCAGGUAUAAUUUCUUUCUUUAUUUUUAUUUAUAUAUGACGGUGGAAUGCAUUACAAUUCUUAUUCACAUAUAGAACACAAUUUUUCACGUCUCUGGUUGUAUAUAAAGUAUAUUCACAUCAAUUCCCAUCUUCAUGCACCUACUUUGGAUAAUAAUGACCAUCACAUUCCACCAUCAUUUCUAACCCCAUGCCCCCUCCCUUCCUCUACGUUUUUUUUCAAAUACCUUUAUUUUACUACUUAUUUUUAUGCGGUGCUGAGGAUCAAACCCUGGGCCUCACGUGCUAGGCAAGCACUCUACAACCCCAGCCCAACAUCGGAUUUUAAA